This 503-nucleotide ribosomal RNA is filed under the name uncultured Oscillospiraceae bacterium. RNAcentral describes it as "bacterial SSU rRNA". It matches the Rfam family "Bacterial small subunit ribosomal RNA", at positions 8 to 507 of the family's 1533-position model. The record is from RNAcentral. Lineage: Bacteria; Bacillati; Bacillota; Clostridia; Eubacteriales; Oscillospiraceae.
AGAGUUUGAUCCUGGCUCAGGAUGAACGCUGGCGGCGUGCUUAACACAUGCAAGUCGAACGGGGUACCCAUGACGGAGGCUUCGGCCAACUGAAUGGACUACCUAGUGGCGGACGGGUGAGUAACGCGUGAGGAACCUGCCUUGGAGUGGGGAAUAACAGCCAGAAAUGGCUGCUAAUACCGCAUAAUGCAGUUGGGUCGCAUGGCUCUGACUGCCAAAGAUUUAUCGCUCUAAGAUGGCCUCGCGUCUGAUUAGUUUGUUGGCGGGGUAACGGCCCACCAAGACGACGAUCAGUAGCCGGACUGAGAGGUUGGCCGGCCACAUUGGGACUGAGACACGGCCCAGACUCCUACGGGAGGCAGCAGUGGGGAAUAUUGGGCAAUGGGCGCAAGCCUGACCCAGCAACGCCGCGUGAAGGAAGAAGGCCCUCGGGUUGUAAACUUCUUUUGUCAGGGACGAAGAAAGUGACGGUACCUGACGAAUAAGCCACGGCUAACUACGUG